RNAcentral lists this long non-coding RNA (402 nucleotides) under Lupinus angustifolius (narrow-leaved blue lupine). RNAcentral describes it as "long non-coding RNA (LANG_LNC003694)". The record is from RNAcentral. Lineage: Eukaryota; Viridiplantae; Streptophyta; Magnoliopsida; Fabales; Fabaceae.
GCAGGUAGACUACAUGCAUAAUAGGACUAAUCAUAAUUUGCCUACUUAUUUUUAUUGUGGUAAACAUGGUCAUACAUCUAUAUCAUGCUACAUUAGGAAAUAUGGUAUACCUAGUGGUAAAUAUGUAUGGAUGCAAAAAGGGCAAGAAUCUUUGAUUACGAAUAAGAAAGGACCCAAUAUGACUUGGGUACCCAAAAAAUGCAAGUAAAAUUGUUUUGCAGAUAUGCCUUCAGACUCAGGGACAACACUUAUACUUGGACAAUGGAUGUUCGAGGCAUAUGACAUGUGAUAGAUCAAAGUUCCUAGAUCUCUCACUAAACGGUAAAGGUUAUGUCACUUAUGGAUAUAACAAUAGAGGGAAGAUACUAGGCAUUGGAAGAAUUGGAAAUGCUUCACAAGCCG